AUUGAACGCUGGCGGCAGGCCUAACACAUGCAAGUCGAGCGGAUGAAGGGAGCUUGCUCCUGGCUUCAGCGGCGGACGGGUGAGUAAUGCCUAGGAAUCUGCCUGGUCGUGGGGGAUAACGUCCGGAAACGGGCGCUAAUACCGCAUACGUCCUGAGGGAGAAAGUGGGGGAUCUUCGGACCUCACGCUAUCAGAUGAGCCUAGGUCGGAUUAGCUAGUUGGUGGGGUAAAGGCCUACCAAGGCGACGAUCCGUAACUGGUCCGAGAGGAUGAUCAGUCACACUGGAACUGAGACACGGUCCAGACUCCGACGGGAGGCAGCAGUGGGGAAUAUUGGACAAUGGGCGAAAUCCUGAUCCAGCCAUGCCGCGUGUGUGAAGAAGGUCUUCGGAUUGUAAAGCACUUUAAGUGGGGAGGAAGGGCAGUAAGUGAAUACCUUGCUGUUUUGACGUUACCAACAGAAUAAGCACCGGCUAACUUCGUG
This 484-nucleotide ribosomal RNA is filed under the name uncultured bacterium. RNAcentral's name for it is "partial 16S ribosomal RNA". It matches the Rfam family "Bacterial small subunit ribosomal RNA", at positions 30 to 507 of the family's 1533-position model. The record is from RNAcentral.